ACGCUGGCGGCGUGCCUAAUACAUGCAAGUCGAACGAGAGCGACCGGUGCUUGCACUGGUCAAUCUAGUGGCGAACGGGUGAGUAACACGUGGGUAACCUGCCCAUCAGAGGGGGAUAACAUUCGGAAACGGAUGCUAAAACCGCAUAGGUCUUCGAACCGCAUGGUUUGAAGAGGAAAAGAGGCGCAAGCUUCUGCUGAUGGAUGGACCCGCGGUGCAUUAGCUAGUUGGUGAGGUACGGCUCACCAAGGCCGUGAUGCAUAGCCGACCUGAGAGGGUGAUCGGCCACAUUGGGACUGAGACACGGCCCAAACUCCUACGGGAGGCAGCAGUAGGGAAUCUUCCGCAAUGGACGCAAGUCUGACGGAGCAACGCCGCGUGAGUGAAGAAGGUUUUCGGAUCGUAAAACUCUGUUGUUAGAGAAGAACAAGUGCUAGAGUAACUGUUAGCGCCUUGACGGUAUCUAACCAGAAAGCCACGGCUAACUACGUGCCAGCAGCCGCGGUAAUACGUAGGUGGCAAGCGUUGUCCGGAUUUAUUGGGCGUAAAGCGAGCGCAGGCGGUUCCUUAAGUCUGAUGUGAAAGCCCCCGGCUCAACCGGGGAGGGUCAUUGGAAACUGGGGAACUUGAGUGCAAAAGAGGAGAGUGGAAUUCCAUGUGUAGCGGUGAAAUGCGUAGAUAUAUGGAGGAACACCAGUGGCGAAGGCGACUCUCUGGUCUGUAACUGACGCUGAGGCUCGAAAGCGUGGGUAGCAAACAGGAUUAGAUACCCUGGUAGUCCACGCCGUAAACGAUGAGUGCUAAGUGUUGGAGGGUUUCCGCCCUUCAGUGCUGCAGUUAACGCAUUAAGCACUCCGCCUGGGGAGUACGACCGCAAGGUUGAAACUCAAAGGAAUUGACGGGGACCCGCACAAGCGGU
Molecule: ribosomal RNA, 919 nt
Filed under: uncultured bacterium
Lineage: Bacteria
Description: bacterial SSU rRNA
Rfam family: Bacterial small subunit ribosomal RNA
Source: RNAcentral